CCUACGGGUGGCAGCAGUGGGGAAUCUUGCACAAUGGGCGAAAGCCUGAUGCAGCGACGCCGCGUGCGGGAUGAAGGCCUUCGGGUUGUAAACCGCUUUCAGCAGGGACGAGGCGAAAGUGACGGUACCUGCAGAAGAAGCCCCGGCUAACUACGUGCCAGCAGCCGCGGUAAUACGUAGGGGGCAAGCGUUAUCCGGAUUCAUUGGGCGUAAAGCGCUCGUAGGCGGUCUGUUAGGUCGGGAGUUAAAUCCGGGGGCUCAACCCCCGCUCGCUCCCGAUACCGGCAGACUUGAGUUUGGUAGGGGAAGGUGGAAUUCCUAGUGUAGCGGUGGAAUGCGCAGAUAUUAGGAAGAACACCAGUGGCGAAGGCGGCCUUCUGGGCCAUAACUGACGCUGAGGAGCGAAAGCUAGGGGAGCAAACAGGAUUAGAUACCCGAGUAGUC
This 444-nucleotide ribosomal RNA is filed under the name uncultured Atopobium sp. Its description in RNAcentral is "bacterial SSU rRNA". It matches the Rfam family "Bacterial small subunit ribosomal RNA", at positions 338 to 795 of the family's 1533-position model. Lineage: Bacteria; Bacillati; Actinomycetota; Coriobacteriia; Coriobacteriales; Atopobiaceae. The record is from RNAcentral.